GAUGAACGCUAGCUACAGGCUUAACACAUGCAAGUCGAGGGGAAACGAUGAGAGAGCUUGCUCUCUUAGGCGUCGACCGGCGCACGGGUGAGUAACGCGUAUCCAACCUACCCAUUACAGGGGGAUAACCUUGCGAAAGUAAGACUAAUACCCCAUGGCAUUUUAUGGGGCAUCAUUAUAGGAUUAAAGAUUUAUUGGUAAUGGAUGGGGAUGCGUCUGAUUAGCUUGUUGGCGGGGUAACGGCCCACCAAGGCAACGAUCAGUAGGGGUUCUGAGAGGAAGGUCCCCCACAUUGGAACUGAGACACGGUCCAAACUCCUACGGGAGGCAGCAGUGAGGAAUAUUGGUCAAUGGGCGAGAGCUUGAACCAGCCAAGUAGCGUGCAGGAUGACGGCCCUAUGGGUUGUAAACUGCUUUUAUAGGGGAAUAAAGUGAGCUACGUGUAGUUUAUUGCAUGUACCCUAUGAAUAAGGACCGGCUAAUUCCGUG
RNAcentral lists this ribosomal RNA (489 nucleotides) under uncultured bacterium. Its description in RNAcentral is "partial 16S ribosomal RNA". It matches the Rfam family "Bacterial small subunit ribosomal RNA", at positions 28 to 507 of the family's 1533-position model. The record is from RNAcentral.